AUGUAUCUUUAAUGUUAUACACAUCACUACGCUAUUGCACACCGGCUUCACCUUUAACAUGUUUGACAUGUAUAUUUUACACAAAUAACACCAAACAUAUUGACAUUGGAUUUUACCUUAUCAAUAUACGAAAAUUAAGGGAAGUUUAGUUAACCAGCGGAGAAGGGGGAGCAGGAACAGAUAAUCAGUGCUGAUAAAAAUUACUUGAAAAUUUGUGCCAACCAAUUAGUCUAAGAGGCUUUGUGGCCAUUCUGACAACCUUCAUUGGCCAUCGGACACAAUUUUGGAAAAUGGCAGCCUAGAGGAAUGUCUAUCAAGUUUGGUUUGAAUGGGCCAAUCAGUUUUUGCCGAAACUUUGUCAACCAAUUACAGGUUAUGGUAGCCACGUUUAUAAAUUUGUCGAAAUAAUCAGUUGCAGUUUUGGCGGAGGAUCAUUCCAGAAACAUUUCUACCAUCUAAUUUCAUACCUACAUUUCGUAGUUUUUGACGAGAUGUCGACCGCCCAAGGGCUUUGAUGGCCAUUUUUUUAAAUUGGAUAUGGCUGUCAGAUAAAAUGUUUGUAGUGAACCAGAGAACGAGCAUUUCUAUGCGGGUCAUUUAAAGAAAAAUAUCGCAAUUGCAAAAUUUACUUUAAACUAUAGUAACAGGGUAGACAGUAACACUAUAGACAAAUUUCUAUAUUUAUGAAUGCUGUUGUGAAAUAACUAUACUCCAUGUGUUGCAGUGAUAAUAGUUUUCUUCUGCGGGCUUUGUUUCCAACACAUAAUUACAUUUGUAUUGUUGUCAUUUAUAAAUUUGUUGGCAACAGCAUAGACAUGACAAAAGGGUACGCACUUAUUUUUUUUACCCAAGAUUUUGAAUCCUUUGUCUUCGCUGUGAUGUAAGAAAAGUGUUGUGUGUACAUUUUUUAGGAUCUUUGUGCUUUUAAAUCAUUACUAAAUAGUUUAAUAUCCAAAAGGUAUAAAAUAAUUUACCGGUUGAUCUAGUAUCGGUAACAGGAUAGAUAUGCAUUUCAUGAACGUCGAUUGAAAUUAGCUUGUAAAAAAACGUGUUACAUAGAAUGAUAAAGGAACUGUGAUACAUGUAUGUCAUUAAAGUCUAUAUUAACAUUCUAUAAUAGUUCAUUUUGCAGAUUUCAAGGCAAUCAGAAAAACCAGCAAAAAAAUAAUAUGAAAUCUGUUACCCUGACACUGCAUGUACGCCUAUAAAUUACGUAUAAAACUUACUUAAAUAUUAUAUUUUAAUCACAUAUAAAUGGAUCUAAUAAA
This is a long non-coding RNA of Mytilus californianus (California mussel), 1268 nucleotides long. RefSeq lists it as uncharacterized. Lineage: Eukaryota; Metazoa; Mollusca; Bivalvia; Mytilida; Mytilidae. The transcript has 2 exons. The record is from RefSeq and is a predicted model, not a curated record.